UACAGAGGUCCCAAGCGUUGUUCGGAUUCAUUGGGCGUAAAGGGUGCGUAGGCGGCGCGGUGAGUCGGGUGUGAAAUCUCGGAGCUUAACUCUGAAACUGCAUUCGAUACUGCCGUGCUUGAGGACUGGAGAGGAGACUGGAAUUUACGGUGUAGCGGUGAAAUGCGUAGAUAUCGUAAGGAAGACCAGUGGCGAAGGCGGGUCUCUGGACAGUUCCUGACGCUGAGGCACGAAGGCCAGGGGAGCAAACGGG
RNAcentral lists this ribosomal RNA (253 nucleotides) under uncultured bacterium. RNAcentral's name for it is "partial 16S ribosomal RNA". It matches the Rfam family "Bacterial small subunit ribosomal RNA", at positions 524 to 776 of the family's 1533-position model. The record is from RNAcentral.